RNAcentral lists this ribosomal RNA (462 nucleotides) under Phaeoura quernaria. Its description in RNAcentral is "partial 28S ribosomal RNA". Lineage: Eukaryota; Metazoa; Arthropoda; Insecta; Lepidoptera; Geometridae. The record is from RNAcentral.
UUCAAGAGUACGUGAAACCGUCCAGGGGUAAACCUGCGAAACUCGAAUGAACGAACGGAGAGAUUCAUCGUCAUUCCUCGGUGCACCUGUGCGCGUUCGAUGUAUCCGGCUUCGGUCGUUUGCACGGCGCACGCUCGUAGCGUCCGGGGACGGCGUGCACUUCUCUCUUAGUAAUACAUCGCGACCCGUUCGAUGUCGGUCUAAGUGCCUUUCGGGAGUCUCCGUUUCUAGUUCGCUAGUUUUGGAUACCGUGAAGUGCACCGACCGGCCGUUGGACGGUAGAUUUGAUGAAACGCUCACGCGCUAGCGCGCGUCAGGCCCGACGCAAGGCAACGUCGUACUCCGCGUCCUGCCCGAGUGCGGACGUAGAUGCGGCGCGCCUGUCGUCGCAGCCGUGCUGUCUCUGACCGUGUGCGUAUCUGUCUGCGAUGAUUCAGUUUCGGGCACUCGCAGGACCCGUCU